GCAGGCGCCAGGAGACCCUGCUUGGCCGUCGCCGCCGCAGCCGGCUUGGUAGUCAGGCCGCCGCCAGCGAACCUGUUGCGUAGCCUGUCACGGCCGCUCGGGCUCCCGGGCGCCGCCUCAGCCCCACAACAACAUGGCGGACGCGGCCUCCGCAGGAAGCCGGGGGGCGGGGAGGUAGGCGACGGGCCGGGCAGCUGACGGCCUGCCCGCUCGCUGCCGGGUACCGACUCACCACCCUCGGGAGCCCGAAACUGCCUGGCCGCAGUUCCUCGCCCCCGGAGUGCCGGAGCACUGAAGCCCUUGGGCUUGGUCCGAAGGCCUUCUCUCCCCUCGGGGAGGCCCUGAAGCACCAGACCUGACAGCCCUUCCUGGAGCUGCGAAGACCCACCUGGCUCCUCCUCCCUGAGCUCCUGGCCUCCUCAUACAAGACCAGACUUGAACGAUUCUGGAGCUGGUGCAAUUCAUCCUGAGUGCUCAUUCUUUCUGAAGGAGGUACCAAAUCUUUGCCAGGACAAAAAUGAAAUUCACAGAAAGAGAUGUUUACAAAGGAAUAGAGAAAAAAGCAUUGAGAAGUCUCCCUAAAAUAAACCAAAAAGCUAACAACCUCUGAUGGAAAUU
Molecule: long non-coding RNA, 618 nt
Organism: Lemur catta (Ring-tailed lemur)
Lineage: Eukaryota; Metazoa; Chordata; Mammalia; Primates; Lemuridae
Exons: 3
Source: RefSeq, a predicted model, not a curated record